Molecule: unclassified non-coding RNA, 146 nt
Filed under: uncultured crenarchaeote
Lineage: Archaea; Thermoproteati; Thermoproteota
Description: partial 16S-23S ribosomal RNA intergenic spacer
Source: RNAcentral
AAUAUUAAUAAAAGUGUGGAGUAUCUUGAAUUAUGAAAGAAAAAUAGAUCUAUAAUAAAAUGCGAUUGAAUGAAAGUAUUUUCAUUUAAUUAAGUGACGUANUAAUUAUAUUACGAUUAUCGUCGUGUACAGAUACGUAAGCGACC